GUGCCAGCCGCCGCGGUAAUACAGGGGGUGCGAGCGUUAAUCGGAAUUACUGGGUGUAAAGGGCGCGCAGGCGGCGGGACGUGAGCGGUGUGAAAGCCCCGGGCUUAACCUGGGAAGAGCAUUGCAGACUGUCCUGCUGGAGUACAUGAGAGGGUGGCGGAAUUUCCGGUGUAGCGGUGAAAUGCGUAGAGAUCGGAAGGAACGUCAAUGGCGAAGGCAGCCACCUGGCAUGAUACUGACGCUGAGGCGCGAAAGCGUGGGGAGCGAACAGGAUUAGAUACCCUUGUAGUCC
This 292-nucleotide ribosomal RNA is filed under the name uncultured bacterium. RNAcentral describes it as "partial 16S ribosomal RNA". It matches the Rfam family "Bacterial small subunit ribosomal RNA", at positions 505 to 796 of the family's 1533-position model. The record is from RNAcentral.